CCUGAAAUAAGCAGGAGCAGCAGCAGCGAGCACGGCUGAAAUGUGGGAUUUCAUCCUGAAGCCUGCGAAAUACAACUACUACAGCGAGAUUGCUGUGGUGGUGGUGGUAAUGAUGAAGAGGCAGGCAUCAUUCUCCUCCUCCGGUGCCUGCUGCUGGUGUCGGAGGCCAUCGGCUCCCUGCAUCUCCCUCUGCCCGGUCGGAGAUGCGUCGAUGUCGCUGACCUGCCUGACAAUGUCCGCCUCUCUUUCGCCUCGCCCAUGGGCAUCGGUUGAGUAGCAAAACAAGUUGGAAACUGUUUGUACUACAGGAGAGGAGAGGGUGGAGAGGUCAUGCUGAAACAUGUUGACUAUGUUUGCAGAGGAAUGGUUUCUAGAUUAAGACCAACCAGGGGAUGAGUGUGCAUGAUCUCAUCCACGUACAGUGACCAGGCACCUUAGGCACAUCCCAAUUCCCUUAUUUGGUCCCUCCUCGCUCCUCGAUCAAUAAGCGAGGAAGGAUCUCUGAGGAGCCAUGUGAGAGAAGCUACAUGAGAGCAGCCUUCAUGACAGUCUUACACCGGUCGACACACCCACUUAUUGGAAAUCAGUUAUUGAUUGGACGCUGCUGCUGAUUGGACGGCACUGAUACAUCACUGUAGUUUUACACUGGACUGGACAGACAGAUUCAACUCAAGUGUGUUAUAUUUGAUUUGUUUUCUGAUUCAUCAUUAAAAAUAGAGGAUCUGUGUUAAUUGGCGGUCUGAUCAACAAAAGAACCAUAAACAACUUUCUUCAUUUAUUAGAACUUUUUUUUUUUUCUUUUCAUGAUCUGUUAUUUCCCCCACUAAUCUUUAUGAUAGAUCAAAUUAAAGCCAGGGAGAGGAACACAUUUUAAACACAUUUAUUCAGUCCCAUCUGAGGACUGAAAAUCCCUGAGCGUACUAUAGUUCCAUGUGAGAUAUAUUUACACAAUUUCCAUUUUUCCCCUGAAACAUAAACUCCCAUCAAAAGUCGCUGCAGUUGUUAAAGCAGACUGACAGCUGAACCAGCUGCGACCAGUCGCUGCCGUCAUCAGAAACAGACAUCGCUUCAUGUGACGCUUCAGGAAAGGAAAGGACAUCUUAUUUCUCUAAAAGCAUAUUUCCCAGUUUCCUCUCUCCUCGCAUCUUUUUCCUCGCAUCUCUCCCCGUGUCUUCAGUGAGGAGGGACUGAGACGCAAGCGAGGGAAACGUGGAUGCAAUUAAAGCACACCUUGUAUUUAGAUGACCUUUCCUUUGCCCUCUAACACAGCAUGACCUGAGCUGCUCCUCUGUGACCAUGUUCACCGAUUGAUUUUAUGGACUGAAUUUUUUUGCAUUUUUUUUUUAAUUAGACAAACCUGUUUUCAUGUAGGACUUUACUUUAUUAGUGAUCCUUCGUCUGUAUAAAAUAAUGUGGGUAAGCAGUUUCCUGUCCACAUCCAAAAAAACUGUGGAAUAAGUACUGGAAUUUAAAAAAACAUGAGAAAACAAAUAAAAGUGCACUUGAAUCAGA
Thunnus maccoyii (southern bluefin tuna) is the source of this 1512-nucleotide long non-coding RNA. RefSeq lists it as uncharacterized. The transcript is spliced from 4 exons. Lineage: Eukaryota; Metazoa; Chordata; Actinopteri; Scombriformes; Scombridae. The record is from RefSeq and is a predicted model, not a curated record.